RNAcentral lists this ribosomal RNA (406 nucleotides) under uncultured bacterium. RNAcentral's name for it is "bacterial SSU rRNA". It matches the Rfam family "Bacterial small subunit ribosomal RNA", at positions 355 to 776 of the family's 1533-position model. The record is from RNAcentral.
UCAAGAAUAUUCCUCAAUGGCCGAAAGGCUGAAGGAGCGACGCCGCGUGUAUGAUGAAGCCCUUCGGGGUGUAAAGUACUUUUCUCUCCGACGAAACAAUGACGGUAGGAGAGGAAUAAGGGGCUGCUAACCUCGUGCCAGCAGCAGCGGUAAUACGAGGGCCCCAAGCGUUAUCCGGAUUUAUUGGGCGUAAAGCGUACGUAGGCUGUUUGUUGCAUCUCCCGUUAAAUCCCAGAGCUUAACUUUGGGGCCGCGGGAGAGAUGGGCAAACUAGAGUCCGGAAGAGGCAAGUGGAAUUGCUGGUGUAGGGGUUAAAUCCGUUAAUAUCAGCAGGAACACCAAAUGCGAAGGCAUCUUGCUAGUACGGUACUGACGCUGAGGUACGAAAGCGUGGGGAGCGAAUGGG